Molecule: ribosomal RNA, 255 nt
Filed under: uncultured bacterium
Lineage: Bacteria
Description: partial 16S ribosomal RNA
Rfam family: Bacterial small subunit ribosomal RNA
Source: RNAcentral
GCAAGUCGAACGGUAACAGGAAUUAGCUUGCUAAUUUGCUGACGACCGGCGCACGGGUGCGUAACGCGUAUGCAACCUACCUUUAACUGGAGGAUAGCCCCGAGAAAUCGGGAUUAAUACUCCAUAGUAUUCCCAAGUGGCAUCACUCAGGAAUUAAAGCUCCGGCGGUUAAAGAUGGGCAUGCGUGACAUUAGUUUGUUGGUGAGGUAACGGCUCACCAAGACUGCGAUGUCUAGGGGUUCUGAGAGGAUGAUC